CAGCAGCCGCGGGAACACGUAGGGCGCAAGCGUUAUCCGGAAUUAUUGGGCGUAAAGAGCUCGUAGGCGGUUUGUCGCGUCUGCCGUGAAAGUCCGGGGCUCAACCCCGGAUCUGCGGUGGGUACGGGCAGACUAGAGUGAUGUAGGGGAGACUGGAAUUCCUGGUGUAGCGGUGAAAUGCGCAGAUAUCAGGAGGAACACCGAUGGCGAAGGCAGGUCUCUGGGCAUUAACUGACGCUGAGGAGCGAAAGCAUGGGGAGCGAACAGGAUUAGAUACCCGCGUAGUCCCUGUCUCUUAUAA
Molecule: ribosomal RNA, 301 nt
Filed under: uncultured bacterium
Lineage: Bacteria
Description: partial 16S ribosomal RNA
Rfam family: Bacterial small subunit ribosomal RNA
Source: RNAcentral